CCUGGGGAGUACGGCCGCAAGGUUAAAACUCAAAUGAAUUGACGGGGGCCCGCACAAGCGGUGGAGCAUGUGGUUUAAUUCGAUGCAACGCGAAGAACCUUACCUACUCUUGACAUCCAGAGAACUUUCCAGAGAUGGAUUGGUGCCUUCGGGAACUCUGAGACAGGUGCUGCAUGGCUGUCGUCAGCUCGUGUUGUGAAAUGUUGGGUUAAGUCCCGCAACGAGCGCAACCCUUAUCCUUUGUUGCCAGCGGUUAGGCCGGGAACUCAAAGGAGACUGCCAGUGAUAAACUGGAGGAAGGUGGGGAUGACGUCAAGUCAUCAUGGCCCUUACGAGUAGGGCUACACACGUGCUACAAUGGCGCAUACAAAGAGAAGCGACCUCGCGAGAGCAAGCGGACCUCAUAAAGUGCGUCGUAGUCCGGAUUGGAGUCUGCAACUCGACUCCAUGAAGUCGGAAUCGCUAGUAAUCGUAGAUCAGAAUGCUACGGUGAAUACGUUCCCGGGCCUUGUACACACCGCCCGUCACACCAUGGGAGUGGGUUGCAAAAGAAGUAGGUAGCUUAACCUUCGGGAGGGCGCUUACCACUUUGUGAUUCAUGACUGGGGUGAAGUCGUAACAAGGUAACCGUAGGGGAACCUGCGGUUGGAUCACCUCCUUA
RNAcentral lists this ribosomal RNA (661 nucleotides) under Leclercia adecarboxylata. Its description in RNAcentral is "partial 16S ribosomal RNA". It matches the Rfam family "Bacterial small subunit ribosomal RNA", at positions 872 to 1533 of the family's 1533-position model. RNAcentral also lists the same sequence under 2 other names. Lineage: Bacteria; Pseudomonadati; Pseudomonadota; Gammaproteobacteria; Enterobacterales; Enterobacteriaceae. The record is from RNAcentral.